GUCUGUGUGUAGCGCGGGCGGAUCUCCUGCAAGAAGUGCUCGAAAUCCUUCUCGGCAACAUGUGUGACCCUGAAAUCUUCUACUCGGACUGGUAUUCCAUAUGGUGUCCUUCCAGGCCGGUCUUGCUGAAUGCCUUCACCAAACAACAUCUAAUUGCAUAACAACAUCAGAAAAGCCUGAAGGUGCGUGGAUAAAUGGUACUACAUGAGUUUGUACGAAAGGCCCUGUGGGAAUAUGGAAAUCAGCAGAGCUUGUUACAGCUGCGCCUAUCAAUUGUAAUUUCUAGAUAUGCCCAGAAAUUUGUACUAGUUCGUAGCAGUCGACUGUAAUUUCUAGUCAGGCCUAGUUCUGAAAAUAUGCAAUGUGGCAGCCAUAAGAUGCGAAAACAGAGACACACAAGAUAAACAUGUUUUGUUGCCCUGGCUGGCGAAAAUGCCUUUAUGUA
Brachypodium distachyon (stiff brome) is the source of this 445-nucleotide long non-coding RNA. RefSeq lists it as uncharacterized. The transcript is spliced from 2 exons. NCBI's taxonomy places the organism in Eukaryota, Viridiplantae, Streptophyta, Magnoliopsida, Poales, Poaceae. The record is from RefSeq and is a predicted model, not a curated record.